Long non-coding RNA from Tarenaya hassleriana, 656 nucleotides. RefSeq lists it as uncharacterized. The transcript has 2 exons. NCBI's taxonomy places the organism in Eukaryota, Viridiplantae, Streptophyta, Magnoliopsida, Brassicales, Cleomaceae. The record is from RefSeq and is a predicted model, not a curated record.
CUUGAAAGACUCGGACUUUGUUAGCCACUCACCAGACCGUUAACGCUGGCGUUUCUCCCGUAGCUCCGGCUCCGCCGUGAAUACCGAGACAGUUGUCGAGUUCCUGGAAAAUGUCCCCCUGCUGCAGAGGUUACACAUUUCAACUCUGAAGCGAAUCGCUGAAGUUGUCGUGCUCAAGCGUUACGGUCGGUAAUCUCUAGUCUCUACGAUUCUGAAUUUCGAUAUUUUGUUUUUCCCGAUUCACGGCGAUUUGUGUCUGAUCGAGUAUUGAAUUUCUUCCCUGGCCUGCCUCGUAUUUUAGUUUUACACUGGGUAGCAUUUCUCGAUACUAUCACAUUCCUCAGCCAUGUUGUGUAGCAGGAAAAGGGGAGUAAGUGUGUUGUUCACGAAGAUCAAACUUGGGAUGGAGUUUAUUUCAUAUUGGUAGGACAGGUUUGUCUGAAUUUGUUUAUGUCGUGCAUUUAGCAAGGUCAAAAGGAAUAUACAGGACUGAAAUGGAGGACUUUCUAGGUUUGUCCAAAGAUUUAAUCUUUGCUCAAAGGGUGGGCAAUGGAUUAUUGUACGAUUACUAAUGGAUUGGAGAAAAUUGGAAAAUAUGAGCACCUUUAUUCAUCCAGAAACUAGACAAAUGGUGUUCACUUGUACAUAGAAAAACA